CCUCAGGGUAGUAUUAUCAGUCCAAUAUUAUUCUUGAUUAUGAUUAAUGAUGUUUUUAAAAGCGUAGAGAGAUCAAUUAAUGUGGCAUUGUUUGCAGAUGAUGGGGCUAUGUGGAAGAGGGGUAAAAAUGUUAACUUUAUUGUGAAGAAGAUGCAACAAUCAGUGGAUGUGGUCCAAAAGUGGGCCCUUGAAUGGGGAUUUAGAAUAUCCAUAGAUAAGACUAAAACAGUAUUUUUUACCAGGAGAAAUAUUCCUCAAGAUUUAAAACUGAAGAUAUAUGGUGCAGAUUUAGAAAGAGUUGAUUGUUUUAAAUAUUUAGGUUUAUGGUUUGAUAAAAGGCUUACCUGGUCUGUACAUAUACAGAAAAUGAUAGAAAAAUGUAAAAAAGUGUUAAAUGUGAUGCGAUGCUUGCGUGGGGUGGAUUGGGGGGCAAAUAGACCAGCCUUAAGAGCUAUUUACAUUGGCCUCAUUAGGUCUGUAUUUGACUAUGGAUGUGUAGCUUAUAGAUCUGCAGCUAAGUCUCUUUUAAUGAGAUUGGAUGUAAUUCAACAUAAAGCAUUGAGGCUAUGCUGUGGUGCUAUGAAGACUACCCCAGUUAAUGCAAUUCAGGUCGAGAUGGGUGAAAUGCCUCUGUAUAUCAGGAGGGAUCAGUUAACGCUGGUUUAUUGGGCUAAUCUUAGAGGGCAAAAUGAAGAUCAUAUAAGUAAAACAUCUUUAAGUCAUUGUCAAGAGAGAGAGAAGUCCAAAAGUGGAAGUUUUGGGUGGAUUAUAUCUCAAAAGAUAAGUGAAAUUGGUCUUCAGUUGAUUAAUGUGUGUCCAACAGUGUCUUAUCCAACAGUUCCAUUGUGGAUAUUGAGAAACCCUGAAAUUGAUUUAGAUCUUUUAGAGUUAAAAUUGAGUGAGGAAAUUAACAGUGGAAUAGUAGAACAUUAUGUUAGAGAUGUUUAUAGAGACAAAAUGUUGAUAUUUACUGAUGCAUCAAAGUCAAUAGAAGGUAAAGUUGGUGUUGCGUUUGUGAUUCCUAGUCUCAAUAUUUGUAAAAAAGAAAGACUGAGUAAUGAUCUUUCAGUUUAUACAGCAGAGUUACUAGCAAUUUUUAAUGCUUUGAGCUGGGUUGAGAGUAAUAGACCUAGGAAUGGGGUUGUGGUUGCUUCAGAUUCAGUAUCUGCAUUGAUGAGCAUUCAAGGUGCCAUGUCACAAUCCAGACAAGAUAUUGUUUUAGAAAUUGUACAGUUAAUAAGUAGACUAUUAAAUUCUGAAAUAAUUGUCAGUUUUUUAUGGGUUCCAGCUCAUUUAGGAGUGCGGGGGAAUGAAUUAGCUGAUAAGAAUGCAAAGGAGGCAUGUGAAUCUCUUGAAAUUACAAUGAAUAUAAGUCAUAGUAAGUCUGAAAUUAAAACCAUAAUCAAAUUAAAGUAUAAGGGAAAAUGGCAAAGUGAAUGGGAUAAUGAUAUUUCUGGUAGAAAAUAUUACAGUAUUCAAAAGUUUGUGGGCGAAGCAAGACCAACUAAUAGAUCUACUCAUGAAGAAAACAUUAUCUCUAGGAUGAGGUUUGGACACACUGGUUUGGCUAGUACUUUAUUUCUUUUAAAAAAGCAUGCUGAUGGAAAGUGUAGUGUUUGUGAUGCUGAUGAGACUGUAGAACAUGUUAUAGAACAUUGUAUUAAGUUUAACCAGGAGAGACAGCAAUUAAUUCAAGAGAUGGAGAUAGAAAGUGAACAUUUAAAAACAAAAGUAAUUCUUCAGAAAAGAUCAAGUGAAGUUUGUUAUAGGUAUUUGUUUAAUUUUUUGGAAGAAACGGGUCUGAUUAGGAGAAUAUAGAGUAGGUCAUAUGUAUAUAAUAGUUUUUUUUUUUUUUUUUUUUUUUUAACAUAGCUAGUGUUAAACAUAUCCAGACUCACACUCCAUUUCGGUAGGUGGCGGUAAUGCUUCCAAAAGUUGUUUGCCAUCCGCCAUAAAAAGAGAAGAAGAAGAAGAAGAAGAAGAAGAAGAAGAAAUCUUCGCGAAAUGUUGGUCGUAGACUCGUAGCUGUAUCCCUUCUAGCCACAAACAGUGACACCGGUGACAGAAAAUGAAAAGGUAUCAACAGUAAAAGAGCUGGUGUCAGAACGAUUAAACAUCCCACCCAGCCAGCAAAGACUGUUAUAUAAAGGCAAAGCUCUUGCAGAUGAACAUAGGUUGAGCGAUUACUCUAUUGGACC
This is a non-coding RNA of Misgurnus anguillicaudatus (oriental weatherfish), 2198 nucleotides long. Lineage: Eukaryota; Metazoa; Chordata; Actinopteri; Cypriniformes; Cobitidae. The record is from RefSeq and is a predicted model, not a curated record.